UGAAAAGGGCAAACCGGCUGAAAAGCCGGGACGCAAAGCUUUGGAGGCUAACACGGACCCACCGUCAAGCCAGUCCGGCUGCCAC
This 85-nucleotide non-coding RNA is filed under the name human gut metagenome. RNAcentral's name for it is "Cyclic di-GMP-I riboswitch". It matches the Rfam family "c-di-GMP-I riboswitch aptamer". Rfam says of the family: GEMM was predicted in a large-scale screen for bacterial structured RNA regulatory elements. Genes associated with GEMM are involved in a diverse array of functions, including chemotaxis regulation, signal transduction, secretion and chitin. The record is from RNAcentral.